Long non-coding RNA from Aedes albopictus (Asian tiger mosquito), 1026 nucleotides. RefSeq lists it as uncharacterized. The record is from RefSeq and is a predicted model, not a curated record. Lineage: Eukaryota; Metazoa; Arthropoda; Insecta; Diptera; Culicidae. The transcript has 4 exons.
CCGUUGGUUCCAAGGUAGUCUUGUGGCUCCUCCACAAUUAUUAGAUUUUUCCAAUUUCCCUUCCUAGAUUUCCCCUCAAUACGCCCCUGGUAAAUAUUUCCCAUCAAACUUCGGGUCUGUGACACUCAUAUUAGAAGUGGUGAGUGUAUGAGUAUGUCAUACCUCUCAUAAGCAGCUGUCAUGUUGCGAGUGUCACUGAGGUCGAGUAGUUUGAAGACCGAGGGCAAAACAUUACCUCGCCCUUUUUAUACUCGCCGAUAGAUGGUGCACACCUCAUUAAUGAAAUAGGGUGUGACACAAAAUCUAAAAACAUAAAUGUUGAACAUAAAAUAAAUGUUAAAUGUUUGUACCGUCGCCUAUAAAACGCCAAGCAUCGAAGCAAUCGUUCUCUUUCUGUGGCAAAUGCUGGAACGUAAUAGUAGUGCGCGCGUGUGUAGUUUUUUAGUUGUAAUUGAGUUGUUAGUACGUCAUACACAAUACCGAAAUAAGUGUAGUGGCCGUUAGUACGUUAAAAUGAAGUGUUAGUACGACAAAUAUGUUGGUUUCCAUGCAAGACAAACCACUCAAACAGAUAAUGUACGAAGAACAACAAAUUUAAGAAAAAUAUCUACAAGAAAAGGUCCAGACAUUGGGCCUUUUCUUUUUAUUUGUGGCCUUUCUUUGCCAGAAAUUUGGAACCGCAAGCAAUCCGGUUCGAAAGUGCGUGCACAGGGAGGAAUCCAGCCAGCAAAAACCGCCAUUGCGACGACCAGUACCCGCUAUAGUUCGUCUACAGUUGCAAGACGCCAUCUUGCCAAACGAAUCCUGUCAGAGCAUGGUUCCGACUCCGGUUGGCCAAAUCUCCGACCAUCACCAUCCAAACGAUGAGCGGACUGAUCACCCGCUCGUCCAUUUCCGUCAAGCCAGACAACCGCCAUCGAACAGCAGCAGUUCCCAAACAGUUCAUCAACCACAGACAAACCGCAAGUAGAACCACCAAUGAAAAUGUGACGUCACAAUAAAUUUGUAAACUUUGUUAGAAACCUA